Molecule: ribosomal RNA, 429 nt
Filed under: Acidobacteriota bacterium
Lineage: Bacteria; Pseudomonadati; Acidobacteriota
Description: Acidobacteria bacterium partial 16S ribosomal RNA
Rfam family: Bacterial small subunit ribosomal RNA
Source: RNAcentral
UGGGGAAUAUUGGACAAUGGGGGAAACCCUGAUCCAGCCAUCCCGCGUGUGCGAUGAAGGCCUUCGGGUUGUAAAGCACUUUUGGCAGGAAAGAAACGUCAUGGGUUAAUACCCCGUGAAACUGACGGUACCUGCAGAAUAAGCACCGGCUAACUACGUGCCAGCAGCCGCGGUAAUACGUAGGGUGCAAGCGUUAAUCGGAAUUACUGGGCGUAAAGCGUGCGCAGGCGGUUCGGAAAGAAAGAUGUGAAAUCCCAGAGCUCAACUUUGGAACUGCAUUUUUAACUACCGGGCUAGAGUGUGUCAGAGGGAGGUGGAAUUCCGCGUGUAGCAGUGAAAUGCGUAGAUAUGCGGAGGAACACCGAUGGCGAAGGCAGCCUCCUGGGAUAACACUGACGCUCAUGCGCGAAAGCGUGGGGAGCAAACAGG